Molecule: small nuclear RNA, 118 nt
Filed under: Actinia tenebrosa (Australian red waratah sea anemone)
Lineage: Eukaryota; Metazoa; Cnidaria; Anthozoa; Actiniaria; Actiniidae
Description: U5 spliceosomal RNA
Rfam family: U5 spliceosomal RNA
About the family: U5 RNA is a component of both types of known spliceosome. The precise function of this molecule is unknown, though it is known that the 5' loop is required for splice site selection and p220 binding, and that both the 3' stem-loop and the Sm site are important for Sm protein binding and cap methylation.
Source: Rfam by way of RNAcentral
UUACUCUGGUUUCCCUUCAAAUCGUAUAAAUCUUUCGCCUUUUACUAAAGAUUUCCGUGGAGGGAAACAACUCAAUGAGUCUAUAGGCAAUUUUUUGUUGCCCUGCCUUAGUGGGAAA